RNAcentral lists this ribosomal RNA (250 nucleotides) under uncultured bacterium. RNAcentral describes it as "partial 16S ribosomal RNA". It matches the Rfam family "Bacterial small subunit ribosomal RNA", at positions 524 to 773 of the family's 1533-position model. The record is from RNAcentral.
UACGGAGGCCCCAAGCGUUGUUCGGAUUUACUGGGCGUAAAGCGUGCGUAGGCGGCGAGAUAAGUUUGGCGUGAAAGCCUCGGGCCCAACCCGGGAAAUGCGCUGAAAACUAUCUCACUAGAGGAUUGGAGGGGAGACUGGAAUUCCUGGUGUAGCAGUGAAAUGCGUAGAUAUCAGGAGGAACACCAGUGGCGAAGGCGAGUCUCUGGACAAUUCCUGACGCUGAGGUACGAAGGCUAGGGUAGCGAAG